This 465-nucleotide ribosomal RNA is filed under the name Vreelandella stevensii. RNAcentral's name for it is "partial 16S ribosomal RNA". It matches the Rfam family "Bacterial small subunit ribosomal RNA", at positions 338 to 795 of the family's 1533-position model. The record is from RNAcentral. Lineage: Bacteria; Pseudomonadati; Pseudomonadota; Gammaproteobacteria; Oceanospirillales; Halomonadaceae.
CCUACGGGGGGCAGCAGUGGGGAAUAUUGGACAAUGGGCGAAAGCCUGAUCCAGCCAUGCCGCGUGUGUGAAGAAGGCCUUCGGGUUGUAAAGCACUUUCAGUGGGGAAGAAAGCCUUGGGGCUAAUACCCUCGAGGAAGGACAUCACCCACAGAAGAAGCACCGGCUAACUCCGUGCCAGCAGCCGCGGUAAUACGGAGGGUGCGAGCGUUAAUCGGAAUUACUGGGCGUAAAGCGCGCGUAGGCGGUCUGAUAAGCCGGUUGUGAAAGCCCCGGGCUCAACCUGGGAACGGCAUCCGGAACUGUCCGGCUAGAGUGCAGGAGAGGAAGGUAGAAUUCCCGGUGUAGCGGUGAAAUGCGUAGAGAUCGGGAGGAAUACCAGUGGCGAAGGCGGCCUUCUGGACUGACACUGACGCUGAGGUGCGAAAGCGUGGGUAGCAAACAGGAUUAGAUACCCUUGUAGUC